Molecule: small nucleolar RNA, 107 nt
Filed under: Cephalotus follicularis
Lineage: Eukaryota; Viridiplantae; Streptophyta; Magnoliopsida; Oxalidales; Cephalotaceae
Description: Plant small nucleolar RNA R71
Rfam family: Plant small nucleolar RNA R71
About the family: R71 is a member of the C/D box family of snoRNAs containing the C (UGAUGA) and D (CUGA) box motifs. Multiple nearly identical copies of this snoRNA have been identified in Arabidopsis, and it is thought to function as a 2'-O-ribose methylation guide for 18S ribosomal RNA.
Source: Rfam by way of RNAcentral
AGACCAUGAUGAGUACACUUUUAGAGCAGAUCUUUGUAUCUUUCCCAUGCUUCAUAUAGCAACUCAUUAUUGAAUUGAUUGAAGGUGGUGAUGUCAUUCCUUAGCUU